This 80-nucleotide small RNA is filed under the name Mytilus galloprovincialis (Mediterranean mussel). The record is from RNAcentral. Lineage: Eukaryota; Metazoa; Mollusca; Bivalvia; Mytilida; Mytilidae.
UACUUCGUGUACAAAAUUUGGUGUAUACAUUGGACCAUAUAUAACCGAUGAUACACCAAAUUUUGUACACGAAGUAUACG